GGACCCGCACAAGUAGUGGAGCAUGUGGUUUAAUUCGAUGCAACGCGAAGAACCUUACCAGGGUUUGACAUCCUGCGAAUCUCUUGGAAACGAGAGAGUGCCUUCGGGAACGCAGUGACAGGUGGUGCAUGGCUGUCGUCAGCUCGUGUCGUGAGAUGUUGGUUAAGUCCCGCAACGAGCGCAACCCACGUCUUUAGUUGCCAGCAUUUAGUUGGGCACUCUAGAGAGACCGCCGGUGAUAAACCGGAGGAAGGUGUGGAUGACGUCAAGUCAUCAUGCCCCUUACAUCCUGGGCUACACACGUACUACAAUGCUACGGACAAAGGGCAGCUACCGGGUGACCGGAUGCG
Molecule: ribosomal RNA, 350 nt
Filed under: uncultured bacterium
Lineage: Bacteria
Description: bacterial SSU rRNA
Rfam family: Bacterial small subunit ribosomal RNA
Source: RNAcentral